CUUUGGCCCUCUCCAUGGUCUCUCACUUCUCUUCCUCCCACUUUUAGACAUGGUCCUCACUCAACAUGAAGUGGAGUUCCACACAGGUGUCAUGGUGGGGGAGGAGCACGGGAGAGACUGCAGAAGCCUUGCUCCUGAUCCAUUAGCCUGCAACUGGGGUGUCUUGAGCAAGGGUGCUUGAGUCAUCCACAGACUCUUUUGUCUGCAGGCAUGGGUGUAAUGAGUUCACUAGACCCAAGAUAAAUGAUAAGUGUAUGUUUGAGGAUGAGGAACAACUCACACAGAACAAUAAAG
RNAcentral lists this long non-coding RNA (294 nucleotides) under Cricetulus griseus (Chinese hamster). Its description in RNAcentral is "lncRNA (ENSCGRG00015036662.1)". Lineage: Eukaryota; Metazoa; Chordata; Mammalia; Rodentia; Cricetidae. The record is from RNAcentral.